UAGGGAAUCUUCCGCAAUGGGCGAAAGCCUGACGGAGCAACGCCGCGUGAGUGAUGAAGGUCUUCGGAUCGUAAAACUCUGUUAUUAGGGAAGAACAAAUGUGUAAGUAACUAUGCACGUCUUGACGGUACCUAAUCAGAAAGCCACGGCUAACUACGUGCCAGCAGCCGCGGUAAUACGUAGGUGGCAAGCGUUAUCCGGAAUUAUUGGGCGUAAAGCGCGCGUAGGCGGUUUUUUAAGUCUGAUGUGAAAGCCCACGGCUCAACCGGGGAGGGUCAUUGGAAACUGGAAAACUUGAGUGCAGAAGAGGAAAGGGGAAUUCCAUGUGUAGCGGUGAAAUGCGCAGGGAUAUGGAGGAACACCAGUGGCGAAGGCGACUUUCUGGUCUGUAACUGACGCUGAUGUGCGAAAGCGUGGGGAUCAAACAGG
Molecule: ribosomal RNA, 429 nt
Filed under: Actinomycetes bacterium
Lineage: Bacteria; Bacillati; Actinomycetota; Actinomycetes
Description: Actinobacteria bacterium partial 16S ribosomal RNA
Rfam family: Bacterial small subunit ribosomal RNA
Source: RNAcentral